GUCUAGACAGACAACCUGUGUAUUGUUCCAGCCGAGUUAGGUGACCCUAAGAUAUAAGGGUCUGAUCAGCCAGAAUGUCUGAAAAGUGGAAGUUAAUGGGAGUGCUGCUGUCGGCCUCCUAUCCAGCCAUUGUAUCUCAACUGAAAGUAGAGGGUUCCCUCCCGUAAGGGUUUCAUGCUGUAUGUCCUCUUUGCCAUGCAAGAAUCAAAGGGAAUUUUGCACGUGACUACAACAAGGGUCUGGAAGAAGCCCUCAAGACUCCAGAGGCAAUUUGGAUAGGCUGUAGAGCUGUACAAACUUUGUGCCUUUCUGCCAAAUCCAGAGAUUCCAGAUCAUCUGAAAGUUAUGUGGUGUUUAAAUGCUGCACAUUCCUCUCAGUUCUGUAUCAUUUGAAGGUUGAGAGUUGGUAGCAGGGAGCAAAAGAAGAGGAAUGUUUUAAAUAUGUGUGACUAGUGAAUGGAUUGACAUUUUGCCUUGUAUUUCAAAAGGCUUUUUCUACUGGGAAAUUAGUCUCUACUCAUGGCAUUGUGAUAAUCCGCUUAUAGUCCAGUUCAUCAAUAUCUUUAAGUACUCACAUGCUUUUCCUCUACAACAAAGUAACUUUGUCAUUUGCAUGCUGGUUGUCAACCAUCUCAAGCAAAAUGACUAGUAGAAGAUGCAUGAGUUUUAGCCAGCUCUGCAUACUUUAAUAGCAUAGGCUAAAUAGGGCUAUCAGUAAUUAUAUUUCCCAGUUACCAGGAGCUUGAUAGACCCCUCAGAGUACAACCACAUUGCUCUCUACCCUCAGGACCUUGCAGGUUGACACCAGAUGCUGUAGGGAAAGGGAAGUGCACAGGGGGUCAUGGGCAUCAGCAUGAGGAUGUGGCUGCUCAGCCAAUGUCUAUUAGCAGAAUGGAGGGGUAGCAAAUCAGCAGGAUAAAUAACAAGCAUCUUUUCUUUGUCUCAUUCUUAGUCACCUGCAUCAGUCAUAAACUUGGUCCUUUUGGAUUCCCUGAAACAGUGGAACAAGUCCUUUGUUUUGCAUGCCAGGACAGAAACAGCUCAUGGAGCUGCAGCCACAGACUGCUGUGGCAGCCCAAAGUGUAAAUGCUUUUGGUAAAGUUUUGGGUAGAAAUGGGGAGGAUGGGUCGACUGGAAACUAAAAUACAACCUGAGACCCAGAGAGUGCCUAAAAUGCUGACAGGAAAGCUAAGAGGGCAUAUCAGGGAAAGAUCUUGUACAUAACCUGUAUUUCUGUUCUUCCUAAGCAUCUACUUCUGACCACUGUCAGUCAGAGAAAGGCUACUGGGCUGGACAAACCUUUGUUUUGAUUCAAUAUGGCCUUUCUUACCCAUUUUAGUGUGUACUGUUGCAUACCUGGUGCUUCUGGCUUUACAACAUUCCCUCUGCAGACACUGGGCAGAGAUCAAGGCCCUUUGCUCUCCAUUUCUGUGAGUCACGCCAAUGAAAAUUCAUUUCAGACCCUGUAGGGGCGGAAUUACUAAUGCAGAAUGCCACUGAGAGCUUGCCCUGUUACCCUGGGUUCUUGGAAAGGGAAUCCUAGCAAGCUGGGGUGGGUAUUAGCUCAUUUUCUGUCACUGCCCUGGGUUACUACAAGGGAGACACAGGGGAGCAGAAACAUAAACGGAGCAUGGGAUUUUUUCUUAGUGCAUGAGCACUAAAACCCUUACUCAUGGUGUGUGGUUUGAGUCAAUGCAGUUCUAGAUUAUCCGCUGUACAUAUAUUCACCAUACAUAAAGAUCUGACAGCAAUUACGCUUAGUGAUGCCAUUGGAGAUCAGAAUCCUGUCUCCCCUCUGAAUUUAUAAAAGGACCUUUUCAACUUUCAAAUUAGCGAACCAAUUAAUCAUGUGUGUUAUUUUAAGCAUGUGCUUUAGUCCAGGCCCUCAAAUUUAAGCGCACCUCAA
Molecule: long non-coding RNA, 1906 nt
Organism: Strigops habroptila (Kakapo)
Lineage: Eukaryota; Metazoa; Chordata; Aves; Psittaciformes; Psittacidae
Exons: 3
Source: RefSeq, a predicted model, not a curated record